Molecule: ribosomal RNA, 253 nt
Filed under: uncultured bacterium
Lineage: Bacteria
Description: partial 16S ribosomal RNA
Rfam family: Bacterial small subunit ribosomal RNA
Source: RNAcentral
UACGGAGGGUGCGAGCGUUGUCCGGAAUCAUUGGGCGUAAAGGGCGCGUAGGUGGCGGGACAAGCGUGCGGUGAAAGCUCGGGGCUCAACCCCGAGUCGGCCGUGCGAACUGUCUUGCUUGAGCACUGUAGAGGCAGGCGGAAUUCCGGGUAUAGCGGUGGAAUGCGUAGAGAUCCGGAAGAACACCGGUGGCGAAGGCGGCCUGCUGGGCAGUUGCUGACACUGAGGCGCGACAGCGUGGGGAGCAAACAGG